UACAGAGACCUCAAGCGUUAUCCGGAAUCAUUGGGCGUAAAGCGUACCGAUAGGUGGCUUUGCAAGUCAGAAGUGAAAUCUCAAGGCUCAACUUUGAGACUGUCUUUUGAAACUGCAAAGCUUGAGGGGCAAAGAGGAAGCUGGAACCAGCGGUGUAGUAGUGAAAUGCGUUGAUAUCGCUGGGAACACCAAUAGCGUAGGCAGGCUUCUGGGUGCCACCUGACACUGCUAGGACGAAAGCGUGGGGAGCGAACAGG
RNAcentral lists this ribosomal RNA (257 nucleotides) under uncultured bacterium. Its description in RNAcentral is "partial 16S ribosomal RNA". It matches the Rfam family "Bacterial small subunit ribosomal RNA", at positions 524 to 776 of the family's 1533-position model. The record is from RNAcentral.